CUCUAAAAUUUCUCAAAAACAGAAUCAUAGAUGCGCAUCAUGUUAGAACACGUGCGCCUGCAAAACAAUCAUGCAAAAAGAUCAAAUGGGCCCUGCCAAAAAUGUAUAAACAAUUCUACUUUUAUUUUUUAUUAGUGAAGCUAGAACCACUUGUUAUUUUAGUACAUGGCACAUUUGAUCAUAUUUUCAUGACUGUUUGCAGGUGCAUAUGUUCUAACAUUAUGCACAUCUAUGUUUUUUCUGAGAAUUUUUUUACAUGCACA
Molecule: non-coding RNA, 263 nt
Organism: Brachypodium distachyon (stiff brome)
Lineage: Eukaryota; Viridiplantae; Streptophyta; Magnoliopsida; Poales; Poaceae
Source: RefSeq, marked provisional